Molecule: long non-coding RNA, 237 nt
Organism: Megalops cyprinoides (Indo-Pacific tarpon)
Lineage: Eukaryota; Metazoa; Chordata; Actinopteri; Elopiformes; Megalopidae
Exons: 3
Source: RefSeq, a predicted model, not a curated record
GGCUAAGUUGAGGGAACAUGGCGACGUCUAAUUUGUUAAAGAAUAAAGGCUCCCUCCAGUUUGAGGACAAGUGGGAUUUGAUGCGCCCCAUCGUUCUGAAACUGCUUCGCCAGGAGUCUGUCACCAAACAGCAGUGGUUUGACCUCUUCUCAGACGUUCAUGCGGUUUGUCUUUGGGAUGAUAAAGGUCCAGCAAAGAUCCAUCAGGCUCUCAAAGAAGAUAUUCUAGAUUUUAUCA